GAGACCCACGCCAACAGUUGCCAGCUCGUCCUCCGGGAUGGUGGGGACACUGUUGGGACCGCCUCUGCUAAAGAGGAGGAAGGAAUGGGCAACGGUAGGUCAGCAUGCCCCGAAUUAUCCGGGCUACACGCGGGCUACAAUGGGUGGGACAAUGGGUAUCGACACCGAGAGGUGAAGGCAGUCUCCUAAGCCCAUCCUUAGUUCGGAUUGUGGGCUGCAACUCGCCCACAUGAAGCUGGAAUCUGUAGUAAUCGUGUCUCAACAUGGCACGGUGAAUAU
RNAcentral lists this ribosomal RNA (279 nucleotides) under uncultured archaeon. Its description in RNAcentral is "partial 16S rRNA". It matches the Rfam family "Archaeal small subunit ribosomal RNA", at positions 1047 to 1325 of the family's 1478-position model. The record is from RNAcentral.